GACGGGUGAGUAACGCGUGGGUAACCUGCCCUGUACAGGGGGAGUAACAGUCAGAAAUGACUGCUAAUACCGCAUAAGACCACAGCACCGCAUGGUGCAGGGGUAAAAACUACCGGUGGUACAGGAUGGACCCGCGUCUGAUUAGCUGGUUGGUGAGGUAACGGCUCACCAAGGCGACGAUCAGUAGCCGGCUUGAGAGAGUGAACGGCCACAUUGGGACUGAGACACGGCCCAAACUCCUACGGGAGGCAGCAUG
This 256-nucleotide ribosomal RNA is filed under the name uncultured bacterium. RNAcentral's name for it is "partial 16S ribosomal RNA". It matches the Rfam family "Bacterial small subunit ribosomal RNA", at positions 100 to 353 of the family's 1533-position model. The record is from RNAcentral.